CCUGUGUCCGCCCCACUGCCGGCGUCCUGUGUCCGCCCCACUGCCGGAGACCGGAGCACAGCUCCGUGACCGGAGAGCAUCUCCACCCCGUCCCUCCUCCCUACGACACCCGGCUGUGCUCUCCCCCAUCUCGCCCUCCCGUGUGACCGUUGACGCCACCUCCGGCCGGAAUUCCUGCUCCCCGAAUCCUCUCCAGCCUGCGCUCCAGGGAAUCCAUCCAGGCCGAUUCAUCCUCUCCAAAGAUGGCUCAAAUGAUUCCUGGAGCUUUUGAUGGUACUGGUACAACUAUGCAUCAUAGGAUGCAGCUUUAUUCAGGUCCGCUGUCAACAUUUUAAAUGUUGAUGAUUGGUCGGAUGGCAAAAUUUGAGGAGGUACUUUUUUUUUGUGAAUAAUUUGAGGAGGUACUGAUUGUGGAAGAUGAAAAUGGCAAUAUUUGUCGGAUGGGAAUAUGACACAAUGGAACAUAAUGAUGUCCUUGUCGAGUAUAUAAGAUCAUGAGGGAAACACUGAACUGUUUGUGUCAUCGAGAUCAUGUGGAUACAGCGCAACAUGCAGCCACUUGGACUCAUCGCCACCACACACCAAAGAAAAGACCUCAUGUUGCUGUGAAGAAUGUGGCACAGAUAUUUGAGAUGCAUCGCGUUGAUGUGGAGCCAUACCUAUCAAUACAUUGCAACUAUAAAAUCAGUAUUUCAUAUAUGUACAAUCUGUGCACUAUCUGUUGGAAGUAUAGGACACAUGACCUUCAGUUUGUAUCUGGGUGACUCCAGAUUGUGUAAUAGCCUGCGUAGGACAGAACAUGUUUUCGUCAUUGACAGUGCCUGUUGACUGUUUUUUAAGUUCCCGCAAUUGCCGUCGGCGCUUUAA
Lolium rigidum is the source of this 867-nucleotide long non-coding RNA. RefSeq lists it as uncharacterized. The record is from RefSeq and is a predicted model, not a curated record. Lineage: Eukaryota; Viridiplantae; Streptophyta; Magnoliopsida; Poales; Poaceae. The transcript is spliced from 3 exons.